RNAcentral lists this ribosomal RNA (506 nucleotides) under Klebsiella pneumoniae. Its description in RNAcentral is "partial 23S ribosomal RNA". It matches the Rfam family "Bacterial large subunit ribosomal RNA", at positions 419 to 929 of the family's 2925-position model. Lineage: Bacteria; Pseudomonadati; Pseudomonadota; Gammaproteobacteria; Enterobacterales; Enterobacteriaceae. The record is from RNAcentral.
GGGACACGUGGUAUCCUGUCUGAAUAUGGGGGGACCAUCCUCCAAGGCUAAAUACUCCUGACUGACCGAUAGUGAACCAGUACCGUGAGGGAAAGGCGAAAAGAACCCCGGCGAGGGGAGUGAAAAAGAACCUGAAACCGUGUACGUACAAGCAGUGGGAGCACCUUCGGGUGUGACUGCGUACCUUUUGUAUAAUGGGUCAGCGACUUAUAUUCUGUAGCAAGGUUAACCGUAUAGGGGAGCCGCAGGGAAACCGAGUCUUAACUGGGCGUUAAGUUGCAGGGUAUAGACCCGAAACCCGGUGAUCUAGCCAUGGGCAGGUUGAAGGUUGGGUAACACUAACUGGAGGACCGAACCGACUAAUGUUGAAAAAUUAGCGGAUGACUUGUGGCUGGGGGUGAAAGGCCAAUCAAACCGGGAGAUAGCUGGUUCUCCCCGAAAGCUAUUUAGGUAGCGCCUCGUGAACUCAUCUUCGGGGGUAGAGCACUGUUUCGGCUAGGGGGUCA